Molecule: long non-coding RNA, 789 nt
Organism: Cyprinus carpio carpio
Lineage: Eukaryota; Metazoa; Chordata; Actinopteri; Cypriniformes; Cyprinidae
Source: Ensembl
GGCUACUUGUUUCAAAUUACCCGUGCUGCUGAAAUAGUUACAGUUACACAGGCUACAGAUGAUACAUUAGAAAAUGCACAUUUUAUAACUUACGUAAUUGACAUUUGCUGAAAUGAUUAGCAGUAUGUUAUAAGUGCUCAGCCACUGGUGCAGACCAGGUAACAUUAUCUUACAAUCUAAAUUUGCUUACAUUAUAUCAAAUAAGUGAUGUCUUACAUUAUGUUUAUUACACAGCAACUGAAUCAAUCAGAAGAUGGACCAUUUUCUACGUUCACCAUUCAGUGUGUUUUUGUCUCAAACAGCUACCCCUUCACUGCAGACAAGCUGAAGGCUAAAUCCUCAACUGGAGUCUUUCUCUGUAUGGAUCUCAGUAUUUUUGGACAGAAUUUAGGAUAUUGUUGGGAUCUCCACUGAAGGACUGAGUACAUUUGUGUUUGUAGACACGCAUACAGACCAGGGAACAUUCUGAUGUUGUCAGUCAUGUUCUGAUCAGGAGCCAGUCUUCGGAGAAGUUCAUUUAUUCCCGAAGGUGGACAAAAACAUUGUGUAGGCUUUUAAAAGGCUAUUUUGAUAAUGACUUUUACUCUUAUGCUGCGGAAAAGAUGGAGGAGUACAGACAUUGAUAAUAAGAAAUGUUUUUUAAACAUUAAAGAGACUUCUUUCAGAACACUUUGGCCACCAGUGUACAUCAAAAGUGAAAAGAUUAUGAAGGUGGGGUAAUGUGUCAUGUUAUCUAAUGAGAUGAAAAGAACUGUUUUGUCCCGUGUUGGGCAUUUCCCUUUUGACUGC